GCUAUACAUGCAGUCGAGCGAACAGAUAAGGAGCUUGCUCCUUUGACGUUAGCGGCGGACGGGUGAGUAACACGUGGGUAACCUACCUAUAAGACUGGGAUAACUUCGGGAAACCGGAGCUAAUACCGGAUAACAUUUGGAACCGCAUGGUUCUAAAGUGAAAGAUGGUUUUGCUAUCACUUAUAGAUGGACCCGCGCCGUAUUAGCUAGUUGGUAAGGUAACGGCUUACCAAGGCGACGAUACGUAGCCGACCUGAGAGGGUGAUCGGCCACACUGGAACUGAGACACGGUCCAGACUCCUACGGGAGGCAGCAGUAGGGAAUCUUCCGCAAUGGGCGAAAGCCUGACGGAGCAACGCCGCGUGAGUGAUGAAGGGUUUCGGCUCGUAAAACUCUGUUAUUAGGGAAGAACAAACGUGUAAGUAACUGUGCACGUCUUGACGGUACCUAAUCAGAAAGCCACGGCUAACUACGUGCCAGCAGCCGCGGUAAUACGUAGGUGGCAAGCGUUAUCCGGAAUUAUUGGGCGUAAAGCGCGCGUAGGCGGUUUCUUAAGUCUGAUGUGAAAGCCCACGGCUCAACCGUGGAGGGUCAUUGGAAACUGGGAAACUUGAGUGCAGAAGAGGAAAGUGGAAUUCCAUGUGUAGCGGUGAAAUGCGCAGAGAUAUGGAGGAACACCAGUGGCGAAGGCGACUUUCUGGUCUGUAACUGACGCUGAUGUGCGAAAGCGUGGGGAUCAAACAGGAUUAGAUACCCUGGUAGUCCACGCCGUAAACGAUGAGUGCUAAGUGUUAGGGGGUUUCCGCCCCUUAGUGCUGCAGCUAACGCAUUAAGCACUCCGCCUGGGGAGUACGACCGCAAGGUUGAAACUCAAAGGAAUUGACGGGGACCCGCACAAGCGGUGGAGCAUGUGGUUUAAUUCGAAGCAACGCGAAGAACCUUACCAAAUCUUGACAUCCUUUGAAAACUCUAGAGAUAGAGCCUUCCCCUUCGGGGGACAAAGUGACAGGUGGUGCAUGGUUGUCGUCAGCUCGUGUCGUGAGAUGUUGGGUUAAGUCCCGCAACGAGCGCAACCCUUAAGCUUAGUUGCCAUCAUUAAGUUGGGCACUCUAGGUUGACUGCCGGUGACAAACCGGAGGAAGGUGGGGAUGACGUCAAAUCAUCAUGCCCCUUAUGAUUUGGGCUACACACGUGCUACAAUGGACAAUACAAAGGGCAGCUAAACCGCGAGGUCAUGCAAAUCCCAUAAAGUUGUUCUCAGUUCGGAUUGUAGUCUGCAACUCGACUACAUGAAGCUGGAAUCGCUAGUAAUCGUAGAUCAGCAUGCUACGGUGAAUACGUUCCCGGGUCUUGUACACACCGCCCGUCACACCACGAGAGUUUGUAACACCCGAAGCCGGUGGAGUAACCAUUUAUGGAGCUAGCCGUCGAA
This 1432-nucleotide ribosomal RNA is filed under the name Staphylococcus saprophyticus. RNAcentral's name for it is "bacterial SSU rRNA". It matches the Rfam family "Bacterial small subunit ribosomal RNA". Lineage: Bacteria; Bacillati; Bacillota; Bacilli; Caryophanales; Staphylococcaceae. The record is from RNAcentral.